This 253-nucleotide ribosomal RNA is filed under the name uncultured bacterium. Its description in RNAcentral is "partial 16S ribosomal RNA". It matches the Rfam family "Bacterial small subunit ribosomal RNA", at positions 524 to 776 of the family's 1533-position model. The record is from RNAcentral.
UACGUAGGGUCCGAGCGUUGUCCGGAAUUAUUGGGCGUAAAGGGCUCGUAGGCGGUCUGUUGCGUCGGGAGUGAAAACUUACAGCUUAACUGUGAGCGUGCUUCCGAUACGGGCAGACUUGAGGUAUUCAGGGGAGAACGGAAUUCCUGGUGUAGCGGUGAAAUGCGCAGAUAUCAGGAGGAACACCGGUGGCGAAGGCGGCAUCCUGGACCGACACUGACGCUGAGGAGCGAAAGCCAGGGGAGCGAACGGG